CUCACCCCGACCCAGAGAACAAUCAGUUGAGGACGUCUCCGACUUUUUUUUCCUUCCCCCCCUCCCAGUACAUCCGCGAUGGCAGGAUGGCAGGAAAAAAGGGGGGGAAAGAGGGAGAAAAAAGAGAAAGAAACAGCUCCUACACAAUCCUCGGAAUCGACAGGCUAUAUGAUGCUCAUCUGCAACCGCGAGAUGGUGGAUGCAGAUGCCACAACAGACUUGUACUGGAUUCAUCAUGAGGAAACUACGGAUAUCAAACUGCAUGUGAAAAACAGAUCCGUCACAACUGUACCAUGUCUAGAAUUCUUCCUUUUGACCCAGGCUACCACAGGACCGAUCUGGGACCUGAACCUCAAGAUGUGCUGUAAGGCUGCUGGAAGUCAG
Molecule: long non-coding RNA, 384 nt
Organism: Oreochromis aureus
Lineage: Eukaryota; Metazoa; Chordata; Actinopteri; Cichliformes; Cichlidae
Source: Ensembl